UGGUUCAGGCAAUAAAAAGAGAAGUCAUCUACCUAGCUGUUAUCUCGCUCUGUCCUGCUAAGAAUCUGCCUGCCUGAGUGAUGCAGCCAGGCUCCCUUGUUCCCUGGGGCAAGGAACCAGUAGAGGGAUAGGGAAUCACAGUGUUUCCCGGCUGCAAGGGCCCUUGGAGAUGGUUUUACAGAUGAGGAAGCAGAGUCCAGAGAAAGGAAGUGAUCUGCUGGGAACCACUGUACUUUUCACACAAGCAACUUUCCGGGCAUCUGCUAUGUGCUGUCCACAGGAUGGCGAGGGGACUAUCCUAAACAUCCUGCCAUUAAUUAGCUGAACAGCCCAUCUAGUAAACAAGACCGAUGGUUGAGGGGCUGGAAAAGAGGAGGAGUCAGCAAGUUGAAAGUCACAACAGACCAGCCCACUCCCUCAGAUAAAAGAAAGGCACAUCACAGUUGUCACAUCAGCAGGCUAGAAAAGCCAUCCCAUUCCUGCGGUAGGCAUUCUGUCAAAGAAAAAGAAAUCUGCAAUGAAUUAUCACAUGAAGUCAAACAAGGAAAGGAGGCAAAAAGCAAGCAGAGCCCUCUUCCUGUUUUGUAGACUCUGCUGGCUACAAUCUAAUAGAAUGCUUAAUCUGAAUAUUUCUGGUGGCAAAACUAUAGCAACCAUUCUGUCUAUUAAAAAGUCAGUGUGGUUAACAAGUGGUUAGUGAUUCUAUUUUUGGGAAGUAGCAGAUACAUAAAAUAAGACAUCCCAUUUUGUUAACUGAUUGGGCUUGGUUAGGCCAAAGAGAUGUAUUGAAUCUGUUUGUCUUUUAUAAACAUGUGUUCUCUAUUCGAUAUGCUCAGGAAUCACUUCUAACUAACUAAGUAUCUUAAUAGUCUAUAAAUUACUGACUCAUUACUGGCCCUUCCCGGGCCUAAUUUAUAGUCUGAGUGAAAAGCUGUCGGAACAGACACUAAUAGAGGCCUCUCCUCCUCCCUAAAAUAUGAUGAUCUCAAAGGAGUUCUGUAUAGUUCUGCAUAUUGUAGACAGUAUCAAAAAUGCAAAUCUUAUAUAAUUUUAUAUACAUACCUGUACGUACAGAUGUACACAUGGAUAUGCAUGGUGGGAUAAAAUACUCCCAUAAAAGAAAAUGGGAAAAUGGAUUCUAAGUGCAAUAAUUAAUACGUUUCAGUAAAGAAAGAAAAGUUGCAUGCUUUUCAUUCCAAGAGACAUAUUUUGCAUUUCAGUGUUGGGAGACCUGGAUCACACAGGGUCUCUGUAACAUCCUGAAUUCCACCAUAAGACCCAGAGGGGAGCAGAACUAAAAUUCAGGACUUAGGAAUAAAAUUUCCCUUUCCCUGGCACAUUUUUAAUCAUUUAAACUAGUAACAGUCACAUCCAGAGAAUUCAUAACCGUCAAUCUUUUCAGAAAAACAAAGAAAAUCAUAAAAUUCAGGUUAGGGAUUUUUCCCCCUUAGGCUAAUAACUCUGAAGCAGUUCUGGAGUCUGUAUACUUCCAGCCCAAUGAAUUAACCUUGAACAGCCACAGCCAUAUUUUAAGAAAUACAGAAUAACCUUUUACGAUCAAGAUAAUGCUAUGGAGGCAGUGAAAUCUUCAUCUUAAAAAAUAAUUAAACCACAUUUAUAAUUAAUUAUACUAAAAAUGGAAAGUAGACUUAACCCUUUUAGAAAGACUUCCAUCAACAUGAGGUGAAACAAAUAUAGUUUUCUAGAUAACCUUCUCUUAAUCAUAAAAUUCAAUUAACUUGAAAACCUUCUCUCCAAAUAUCCUGCUUAAGAAGAUUUACUGUGCUUGUCAGGCUUUGGCGCCCUGGCUGAAAUUUCUUUGCUUAGUUAUGCUGCUAUGCAGUUCACUCCAGAUCAGUGUAUCAGGGAUGACAAAACAGUGGCACAUUCCAAGUGUCAUUCCUCAGUGUUCUUUCUGUGAGCUUGUUCUUUACCAUGGGGCUUUUUGUGUUGUAGAACACUUCUGGAUUGAAGAAAACAUUCUAACAAGGACUAGAAAAUUCCAACUCUACUUCCUAAAAUUGCGCUAUAGAACAGUGUUAAGUGAAUGCCUCAGAGAGCCACAAAUAACUUGCAGGAAUGCAUAGGGUGUCUUCCCACAACCACAGGCAGUGGAGCCUCAGUCUGUGAAACAAACAGCUCCUACCACCACGGCUGCCUUACAGAGAGGCUUAUGCCAAAGUAAUACUCUUAGCUUCUUGACCUUGAUAUUUUAAAUUUUAUAACCACAGUGACAAUCUUUAACAUCAUGUAUUAUUUAAAGCACAGGGAUGGUUUUAUAUGGAGUUAAAUGGACCUAGGAGUAAGGCUGCAUUCCUUCUAAACAUACAGUGUUGAAGUGAGCCUUGCUUGAGAAAGGAGGUUUUGGCUUAGAGGGAGACUGAGUCUUAGCUGAGUUCACCUGAGAAAUAACCAGGUUUUAAUCUUUUCAGACGGGGCAAUAUAAAAUAGUUCUUAUUAGCAUGGAAAAGGUCACUUUUGAAAGAUCGAUUCACCUUCACAGAUGAUUUAUCACUGCUUUGCAAACAAAAGAUUUUUUUUUAAUAACUUAUUUAAUAACACAGAUCCUAUGAGAAAACCAAAGUUUAGAGUUGACCCAGAUUUCUGUGAUGUUCUUCCCAUUUGAAUUCUGAAAUAAAUAAAGAAGGAACAAACAAGCAUGUGUAAUUAGUGAAGAGCAAUUUCAGUAAACAUAUUCCCUAGGGUACUCUAUUUUGAGUCACUGCUUUUUCCUUUUGAUGUACAAAGGAUGUACAUUGUCUAUGUAGGGCAAUUAUGGGAACGUCCCAACUUUGGCAUGCUUUCCAGAAUAAGCAACUUUACAGGAAGAUGGAUGAAGACAACAACUCAUCUUCACGUCAACUGUAAAUUUCUCUCUAUUUGUGUUGCAAAUGUUGAAACUAAAUUUAAACAUUGCUUGGUGUGAGGGCCUUCCAGAGGCCACAUUCUCAUGGAAUACUUUGUAUCCCACUUACUUUCUUCUGUCAGACCCUAUGAAUGAUUCCCAGUUCUGUAUCUAUCUUUACAGACACUCCUAGUUAGUAAAAUCCAGGCUUUGACCAGAAAGAGUCAGGACUUCCACCCACUACUGAAAAUUAUAGCUUAAUCAAUAACACAAUUAGACCUCCCCAACAAACUGGAUCCUACGUGCCUAUAUACUACUUAAGGUUCAUUUCUGGUUUAAUAAAGCUCUGUUCUCAACAUCAGUUGCUCCUUUGUGAAUUUGCUGAAAAGCUCAGACAUUUUAGCAUCUCUUAAAGUUCACAGCAAAGACAAUACUUAAUGUGUUUAAGGCCCAAUUAGUUAUAAAAUUAGGAAUUCAUAGUUCCCAUUUUUUUUAAUUGAGGACCCAAUUUUUGACAUUCAUUUAUUCAUACAGUGCCAAAUUACGACCUGUGCCAGAAUGUCAAUCUACCUGGAUAAGCAGAUACAGAUUUUACCUACUGCACUGGGCACUGUGGGGUAAUUAAUUUCUAAGUGUGUACUUUUUAAAGUGACUGUUUUUUACUUCAUAUGGACAAGGUAGAGAAAACAUUUAAAUCCCAUAGUGGUUUACUUCUGUUUUUUAUGGGUUAUCAUAAAUUGAUACAUCUUAGGGGAUACAAAUGAAUAUUAAAAAGCAAAAGAUUAAUAUUUUUCUUAAAAGGACACAUGCUACAAAACUUACUUUGUAGUUCCGACUUAAAUAUUACUGCGUAUUAUGUUUGCCAUUAGCCUACUUAUUAAAACAUUAACUAUAAACACCAGUCUUUCUUCCAGUACAGACUUGUUUUAUUCUAUUACCUUUCCUGAUUCUCUUCUGCUUUCUCAAAUCUUAAAUAAACUAGCAUAAGAAUCUCACUGUAGUAAGUAAGUCCCAAACUCUCCUACAAAUACUUUAUUUCUCAAAGGCAUAAGAAAGAGGUUUUGGUUCUAUUGUCUGAAUUCCUAUAAAUUUGCUUAAUAUGAUUUCAGCAAAUUUUUACUGAGUUCUUAUUCUGUAAAUCACUGUGUGCUUGGUGGUACAACAGGACACUAAGAUAAAUAGACAGUCCCUGGCUUCACUAAACUUCCAGUUUCACAUUCAAGUUUUAACCACCACAAGUAAAAUGCACUGAGAGGUCAUUCUCAAAGUGAGAAAGGAGGGAGAAAACAAAGCAGGCUUUUGUUUUUUUGCUUCUAA
Molecule: long non-coding RNA, 4162 nt
Filed under: Homo sapiens (human)
Lineage: Eukaryota; Metazoa; Chordata; Mammalia; Primates; Hominidae
Description: HSALNT0334421
Source: RNAcentral